GUUACAUUUUGCAUGCAAAGAAAGCCAGAGUGGCUAGAUUACUCCCUUAGGGUAAUGGAGAAAGGAAAAAGAAAUUGAAAAAGGUCAGGUGAACAAAGCAGAAGGAAUGAAGAGGUUUGUGUGAUUCUUAGUGAAAUUGGACCAGUCUAAGCAACCAGACAGUGCAGUUCAGGAAACCAGGCUGAAGAAUGUGAAAUACAUCGCCCAAAGUCAGACACGGAGGAACAACUGCUUCGGAGCUAGCAAUUUCCUGAGCUGGAAUUGCACCACUGGCCUGUAGAAUCCAAACUGUUUUCUACCAGAACAACUCCUUCCCUGCAGGAAGCAGGGUGUGCACAGCUGAACCCUGGUCUGAGAAGGUUGAAGUCACUGACUCAGCCCCAGCAAGGAAGUUGCCCUUCGACUUCUGACCUCUGGCCCUGUUUGAAAACCAACUCAAAUCGUUUUUCUUUUUCAGAAGCUGCUUGCCUCCGCUUCACCUUCCACCAUGAUUGUAAGUUUCCUGAGGCCUCCCAGUCAUGCUUGCCGUUAAAACUGUGGAACUGCUUUACAACGAAUGUAAAAGACAAGUCUCAGGAAAAGAUGUAAUUUUAUGGAAGAAAAAAGAUAGAAAAUAACAUUACCCAAAUGAAAACAGAUGAAGAUAAAGAUCAUUUCUUGAACAAUAUCUUCACAUCAUGGCUGGGCAAAGUGGAAAGAGACAGAAAACUGAAAAGUGACAACUUAAAAACUUUCUUUAAACAUAUCACUCUGACACCAAUGUGUAAGAUGAAGUGGACAGGAAUGGAACUGUACUGGGAGGCUCUGACAGUUCGGGUGAGAAGAAAUGAAGGGUCCUGUAAGCAGAUGAGCAGAUGAACAGAAGAGCAGAAGAGCAGCACAGCCGAGAAGGAAUGAAUGGCACAGCAGAGAAGGAGAGAAGAGAAGGAGCAUCUGAACGUUGAGAGUUCAACUAGAAAUGGUCAGAGAGGAGACUGAUCAUGGGAUAGCCAAACUCCAGGAGAAGAUUAUGUUCCCACUCCAUCCCCUUUCCAGAUCCCCAAUCCAUCCCUCUGAGAGCCACCUCUACCACUCGAUAAAACCCCUGCAUUUACCAUC
Molecule: long non-coding RNA, 1098 nt
Organism: Homo sapiens (human)
Lineage: Eukaryota; Metazoa; Chordata; Mammalia; Primates; Hominidae
Source: Ensembl